This 242-nucleotide long non-coding RNA is filed under the name Elaeis guineensis (African oil palm). RNAcentral's name for it is "long non-coding RNA (EGUI_LNC041969)". Lineage: Eukaryota; Viridiplantae; Streptophyta; Magnoliopsida; Arecales; Arecaceae. The record is from RNAcentral.
AUUUGGUGAAGACGAGAGGUUCCUGAAUAUUGGAGAUAGAAGAUCAGUUUCAGUUCUAGCUUUAGGAAUCAUCAAGCUUGUGUUCGAGUCUUAGUAUAUUGUUCUUAAUGAGUAUCAUUACUGUCCUAAUUUUUUUUUAAAUAUUAUUUUUGUAGGCCUUUUGGCCAAGUCAAAUUAUGAAAUAUCAAUAAAGAAAAACUUUUGUGAUAUCAUUUUGAAUGGUGUUAUAAUUUUACGUGGAC